This 405-nucleotide ribosomal RNA is filed under the name uncultured bacterium. RNAcentral describes it as "bacterial SSU rRNA". It matches the Rfam family "Bacterial small subunit ribosomal RNA", at positions 370 to 772 of the family's 1533-position model. The record is from RNAcentral.
AAUGGGCGAGAGCCUGAACCAGCCAUGUCGCGUGCAGGAUGACGGCCCUACGGGUUGUAAACUGCUUUUGUACGGGAAGAAAAAACGCCACGUGUGGUGUCUUGCCGGUACCGUACGAAUAAGGAUCGGCUAACUCCGUGCCAGCAGCCGCGGUAAUACGGAGGAUCCGAGCGUUAUCCGGAUUUAUUGGGUUCAAAGGGUGCGUAGGCGGGAGAUUAAGUCAGUGGUGAAAGUUUGCGGCUCAACCGUAAAAUUGCCAUUGAUACUGGUUUUCUUGAGUACAGUUGAGGUAGGCGGAAUGUGGUGUGUAGCGGUGAAAUGCAUAGAUAUACCACAGAACACCGAUUGCGAAGGCAGCUUACUAAAGUGUAACUGACGCUGAUGCACGAAAGCGUGGGGAUCAAA